RNAcentral lists this ribosomal RNA (251 nucleotides) under uncultured prokaryote. RNAcentral's name for it is "partial 16S rRNA". It matches the Rfam family "Bacterial small subunit ribosomal RNA", at positions 525 to 775 of the family's 1533-position model. The record is from RNAcentral.
ACGAAGGGAGCUAGCGUUGUUCGGAAUUACUGGGCGUAAAGGGCGCGUAGGCGGUUAAACAAGUCAGGCGUGAAAGCCCCGGGCUCAACCCGGGAACUGCGCUUGAGACUGUUUUCCUAGAGUACGGUAGAGGUAAGUGGAAUUCCCAGUGUAGCAGUGAAAUGCGUAGAUAUUGGGAGGAACACCAGUGGCGAAGGCGGCUUACUGGACCGUAACUGACGCUGAGGCGCGAAAGCGUGGGGAGCAAACAG